RNAcentral lists this ribosomal RNA (589 nucleotides) under Fusarium sp. NRRL 43450. RNAcentral describes it as "eukaryotic LSU rRNA". It matches the Rfam family "Eukaryotic large subunit ribosomal RNA", at positions 1 to 600 of the family's 3401-position model. RNAcentral also lists the same sequence under 6 other names. The record is from RNAcentral. Lineage: Eukaryota; Fungi; Ascomycota; Sordariomycetes; Hypocreales; Nectriaceae.
UUGACCUCGAAUCAGGUAGGAAUACCCGCUGAACUUAAGCAUAUCAAUAAGCGGAGGAAAAGAAACCAACAGGGAUUGCCCCAGUAACGGCGAGUGAAGCGGCAACAGCUCAAAUUUGAAAUCUGGCUCUCGGGCCCGAGUUGUAAUUUGUAGAGGAUGCUUUUGGUGAGGUGCCUUCCGAGUUCCCUGGAACGGGACGCCAUAGAGGGUGAGAGCCCCGUCUGGUUGGACACCGAUCCUCUGUAAAGCUCCUUCGACGAGUCGAGUAGUUUGGGAAUGCUGCUCUAAAUGGGAGGUAUAUGUCUUCUAAAGCUAAAUACCGGCCAGAGACCGAUAGCGCACAAGUAGAGUGAUCGAAAGAUGAAAAGAACUUUGAAAAGAGAGUUAAAAAGUACGUGAAAUUGUUGAAAGGGAAGCGCUUGUGACCAGACUUGGGCUUGGUUGAUCAUCCGGGGUUCUCCCCGGUGCACUCUUCCGGCUCAGGCCAGCAUCAGUUCGCCCUGGGGGAUAAAGGCUUCGGGAAUGUGGCUCUCUCCGGGGAGUGUUAUAGCCCGCUGCGUAAUACCCUGUGGCGGACUGAGGUUCGCGC